Molecule: unclassified non-coding RNA, 310 nt
Filed under: plant metagenome
Description: partial contains 5.8S ribosomal RNA, internal transcribed spacer 2, and large subunit ribosomal RNA
Rfam family: 5.8S ribosomal RNA (bases 1-105)
Source: RNAcentral
GAAAUGCGAUAAGUAGUGUGAAUUGCAGAAUUCAGUGAAUCAUCGAAUCUUUGAACGCACAUUGCGCCCCUUGGUAUUCCAUGGGGCAUGCCUGUUCGAGCGUCAUUUGUACCCUCAAGCUCUGCUUGGUGUUGGGUGUUUGUCCCCGUCUCCGCGCGUGGACUCGCCCCAAAGUGAUUGGCAGCCGGCGUACUGGUCCCGGAGCGCAGCACAUGUCGCGCAAACGAGUGCCUUGGUACGGCGGCGUCCAUAAGCCCAUCUCUCACGCUCUUGACCUCGGAUCAGGUAGGGAUACCCGCUGAACUUAAGC